UGAAAAUCUUAAGGUUUUGUUUGUUACAAAUGGGACUUCCAAGAUACACUACUACACCGAGGAGCACAAUGGUGCAGUGCAUGGCAUGGAGGAUGCCCCUAUUACUCCUUUCACAUGUGAUAUGUCAGCAUCUGGAGAUGGCAUUGUUGCAGCAAUGUUGAGAAUGUUAUCUGUUCAGCCACACCUCAUUACUGAUAAAGGAUAUUUGGAGCAAACAGUCAAGUAUGCAAU
RNAcentral lists this unclassified non-coding RNA (231 nucleotides) under Hevea brasiliensis (rubber tree). The record is from RNAcentral. Lineage: Eukaryota; Viridiplantae; Streptophyta; Magnoliopsida; Malpighiales; Euphorbiaceae.